Long non-coding RNA from Musca vetustissima, 174 nucleotides. RefSeq lists it as uncharacterized. NCBI's taxonomy places the organism in Eukaryota, Metazoa, Arthropoda, Insecta, Diptera, Muscidae. The transcript has 2 exons. The record is from RefSeq and is a predicted model, not a curated record.
CUAAGGGUGGCAAAGGCCAACGAAUAUAAACAGGUUUACCGUCUAGUACACAUCGCCAAUGAGAAACGCACUGAAGAGCUCAAAGUUGCAGUUGGAUUUUAAAACUUUAACAAGACUGUCACAUCCGCGUACGAAGUGCUCAAGGUGACCAACGACAAGUGUUGAAGAAAGAAA